Molecule: long non-coding RNA, 544 nt
Organism: Artibeus jamaicensis (Jamaican fruit-eating bat)
Lineage: Eukaryota; Metazoa; Chordata; Mammalia; Chiroptera; Phyllostomidae
Exons: 3
Source: RefSeq, a predicted model, not a curated record
CUCACAGACCAAACCUCAGGGUUGUCCUUGGAGGCUUGGCAAGCAGAGCUGGGCCCCCACUUUCUGAAUGUCCCAUGGAAAUCAGCCACAGAUUGCCAUUAACCCCUGAGAGGACAAGGGCAGUUCUCGACAUCAUUCCAGCAUCAGAGAGGGCUGGCAGGUUCUCAUCUAAAGAAGAAUGGAGAAAUGCCAUCACCCACACAUCAGGAGACUGUUGCGGGGCAGCGACGGAAUACUCCAACGAAGCAGUCAGAAUGCCAGUCCGCCGUGAGCCUGAACACCAGGGUCGUUGAUGUUCCAGUUCCAGCUCAGCUCACGUCCCAGCCUCUCUGGUGACUGCAACAGAAACUUUCCUGCCAUGAACUCUCACUUGAGAUUCCAGCAUAUGAAACAUCACACAGGACAGACACUAUGCUGGGAGAAGCCGGGCUGGAAGGCCUAGGUCACCACCCACUCCACCACUACAUACACUCUCUGCACUAAUACACACCCAGUGUUGUGAUUAUGACUGAUUUUUAUUUCUGCUCUGUACUAUUCUCUAUGC